GGUGCAUUAGCUAGUUGGUGAGGUAACGGCUCACCAAGGCCACGAUAGCAUAGCCGACCUGAGAGGGUGAUCGGCCACACUGGGACUGAGACACGGCCCAGACUCCUACGGGAGGCAGCAGUAGGGAAUCUUCCGCAAUGGACGAAAGUCUGACGGAGCAACGCCGCGUGAGUGAUGAAGGCUUUCGGGUCGUAAAACUCUGUUGUUAGGGAAGAACAAGUAUGAGAGUAACUGCUCGUACCUUGACGGUACCUAACCAGAAAGCCACGGCUAACUACGUGCCAGCAGCCGCGGUAAUACGUAGGUGGCAAGCGUUAUCCGGAAUUAUUGGGCGUAAAGCGCGCGCAGGCGGUUUCUUAAGUCUGAUGUG
This 370-nucleotide ribosomal RNA is filed under the name uncultured Bacillus sp. RNAcentral's name for it is "bacterial SSU rRNA". It matches the Rfam family "Bacterial small subunit ribosomal RNA", at positions 235 to 596 of the family's 1533-position model. Lineage: Bacteria; Bacillati; Bacillota; Bacilli; Caryophanales; Bacillaceae. The record is from RNAcentral.